Long non-coding RNA from Anguilla rostrata (American eel), 291 nucleotides. RefSeq lists it as uncharacterized. The record is from RefSeq and is a predicted model, not a curated record. Lineage: Eukaryota; Metazoa; Chordata; Actinopteri; Anguilliformes; Anguillidae. The transcript has 2 exons.
CUAAAAUGGAGAACAAAUGAUUAGUUAGUUUGAAUUGAUUAGUUAGUUUCUUGUACCAGUCCCUCAUUUUGUAUUGGGGGUUCCUGCACUAGUCAGGAAUCACCCACAGGUACAUUCACGGUAUUAACAAAAGUCUCAUGCAAGAUGCUACUUUGAGAAGUAAAAAAGAUCCAUUACCUCAGUGUCAGCUUGAAGCCAACAUUGCUCAGCGUGUAUUUUACAUAAGAAACAGUAGAAAGAAUGGUGUUAGGAUCUGCCACUAGGGGUCAAUCAUAUGUGUGCUACCUUUUU